RNAcentral lists this transfer RNA (115 nucleotides) under Candidatus Bathyarchaeota archaeon. Its description in RNAcentral is "tRNA-OTHER". It matches the Rfam family "tRNA". From Rfam's summary of the family: Transfer RNA (tRNA) molecules are approximately 80 nucleotides in length. The record is from RNAcentral. Lineage: Archaea; Thermoproteati; Candidatus Bathyarchaeota.
GCCGGGAUUCCCGAGCCUGGUACGGGGCAGUUAAAAGCCUAAGCCUGGAGAUACAGGCUUGAAAGCCUGUGGCCCUUUUAGGGCCUCGUGGGUUCAAAUCCCACUCCCGGCGCCA